UUAUUUGAUUUUAAUCCCACAAAUUUUGGGGGCUCGUCCGGGAUAUAAAUCAAGUUAUCCAGAGGAGUCAUCGAACGACGUAAGACGACGUACUGUAACGGUCGAUUUUCAAUUUGAAUAUACCGUAUCUCAACCCAUUUCUGGACUCAGGACGUCGAAGGCGGGCCAGGAAGCAGCGGCAGUGUGGCAAAUGGAAUAAUACGGAGAAUGAGGAACAAGCUGUGGAACGUUUGGAGGAAGUGUUAAGGGUGGCUUCAGAGUAUGGACUCGAGAUCAAUUGGAAGAAAAGUCAGUUGAUAUGUAAGAAGGUAGAGUACUUAGGACAUCUAAUUGAAAAUUGAGAGUUUAGGCCUUCACCAGACAAGACGGAAGCUGUGG
Molecule: unclassified non-coding RNA, 378 nt
Filed under: Melitaea cinxia (Glanville fritillary)
Lineage: Eukaryota; Metazoa; Arthropoda; Insecta; Lepidoptera; Nymphalidae
Description: misc RNA ENSMCXG00005013257.1
Source: RNAcentral